RNAcentral lists this ribosomal RNA (278 nucleotides) under Coniochaeta mutabilis. RNAcentral's name for it is "partial 28S ribosomal RNA". It matches the Rfam family "Eukaryotic large subunit ribosomal RNA", at positions 351 to 650 of the family's 3401-position model. Lineage: Eukaryota; Fungi; Ascomycota; Sordariomycetes; Coniochaetales; Coniochaetaceae. The record is from RNAcentral.
GAGUGAUCGAAAGAUGAAAAGCACUUUGAAAAGAGGGUUAAAUAGCACGUGAAAUUGUUGAAAGGGAAGCGCUUGUGACCAGACUUGUGCCGGGCUGAUCAUCCAGUGUUCUCACUGGUGCACUCGACCCGGCUCAGGCCAGCGUCGGUUCUCGUAGGGGGAUAAAAGCUUCGGGAACGUGGCACCUUCGGGUGUGUUAUAGCCCGUUGCUUAAUACCCUUGUGGGGACCGAGGUUCGCGCUCUGCAAGGACGCUGGCAUAAUGGUCAUCAGCGACCC